ACUUUACAGGCAGUUGAAGUGAUUCCUUUGGAGAAUUCCGGAAGAAGCAAGUUUCUGUCUCAAAGUCAAUUUCUUCACUUACUAUAGCUUCAGAUUUUAGAAGUCAAAAUCAAAGAGUUGUCAAGUUUGGUUUCUUCUGAGGCCACUGUUACUGUCUUGUCACCUCAGUGUGUUUUCACCUGAUCUGUCUUCUAUGCAUGUGCAUCCUGGUAUGUCUAAAUUUCUUUUAAGAGUGACAGAUUAGAUCAGGGUCUUCCUACAUAACCUCAUUUAGCCUUCAUUGCCUUGGUACUAUGUAAAUACUGUUGUAUUCUGAAGUAGUGGGGCUGGUACUGGAUGUGUGAGUUUUGGGGUGUUGUAUGUCUUCCUGUGAAAACAUGAAGAAACAUGUGUUCACUCCAGAUAGAUCACCAGUGAUAGAUCAAAAUAGCUAUUAUAGUUCAGCAUGCUGCACUAAUGAGUUUUGGGGCUUACUUACAGAGCAUGGUUGAGUGCUUACUUAGAGGAACAUGAAUAACUCAGAGGUAGAGGUAUCACUGAAAAGGCCCUUGCAGCAUGGGUGAUGGUUUAUAAAGUCUGUUCUUGAAGCUCCUUGUACAACCUACUAAUAGCUCAGCUACUUGGAGAGUAUCCUGUCCCAAGCUUGCUACUGCUUAUUUUACCUUGGGGGAGGAGCCUUGUCAAUCAUGUGAGUUUCAGGCAAUUUCUGAGACUUCUGAGUUGUUUAUUUGUUGACCCUCAUAAGCUUCAUUUACUUUCUGAGUCUUAAGAAACCUCCCUUCAGGAUAGAAUAUUUUGAUUUGGAAGAAAUUACUAUAUAACUCAGGGGAUACAAUUAUCCCCACAACAAGCUCAAAUCUGUCUGUCUAUCAUUUUACAUCAAAAGCUAAUGAUUUCCACAUUAGGGUCAGGUUGUUUUAGUUGCAAAUACUCUGCUCUUUAGAUGUUAGAGAGGUCUUCAAUUGAACAGUCUGGGUCUAGCUUAUGGUCCUCUGCAGGUCUUUUUUAAAAAAAUUAUGUAUACAGUGUUCUGUCUGUAUGUAUGCCUGUAGACCAAAAGAGGGUGCCAGAUCUCAUUACACAUGGUUGUGAGCUACCAUGUGGUUGCUGAGAAUUGAACUCAGGACCUCUGGAACCUCUGCAGGUC
Molecule: long non-coding RNA, 1147 nt
Filed under: Cricetulus griseus (Chinese hamster)
Lineage: Eukaryota; Metazoa; Chordata; Mammalia; Rodentia; Cricetidae
Description: lncRNA (ENSCGRG00015039908.1)
Source: RNAcentral